RNAcentral lists this small RNA (29 nucleotides) under Bombyx mori (domestic silkworm). RNAcentral describes it as "ovarian small RNA-2488". The record is from RNAcentral. Lineage: Eukaryota; Metazoa; Arthropoda; Insecta; Lepidoptera; Bombycidae.
ACCAACGUCCAAACCUCACAUGAGACAGA